UAUAAUAUUUUGACUCUUCGUCUUAUUUGAAAUUUUUUGCGAUUAAUAUUUUUUUCUUACUAGAUGAUAAAAUAUGAAUAAUACUUUAGGUAUGACUAAUUUUUUAAAAUUUUUGUACAAAUUUUUUAAAUAAGACGAAUGGUCAAAACAUUGGACACAAAAAUCGA
This 167-nucleotide microRNA precursor is filed under the name Oryza brachyantha (malo sina). Its description in RNAcentral is "MIR812 microRNA precursor family". It matches the Rfam family "MIR812 microRNA precursor family", at positions 27 to 191 of the family's 205-position model. Lineage: Eukaryota; Viridiplantae; Streptophyta; Magnoliopsida; Poales; Poaceae. The record is from Rfam by way of RNAcentral.